AUCCUUCUAUGGUUCAUAAGCAUGGCGAAUGGGUAUUCAUGCAUCUGUGUGAGAUGUGCCUCCCUCAAACCUUGUUACAACGUUGGCACAUUAUCUGUCUGACA
Molecule: small nucleolar RNA, 104 nt
Filed under: Dasypus novemcinctus (nine-banded armadillo)
Lineage: Eukaryota; Metazoa; Chordata; Mammalia; Cingulata; Dasypodidae
Description: Small nucleolar RNA U13 (ENSDNOG00000031796.1)
Rfam family: Small nucleolar RNA U13
Source: RNAcentral